CUACGGGGGGCUGCAGUGGGGAAUAUUGCACAAUGGGCGAAAGCCUGAUGCAGCAACGCCGCGUGAGGGACGACGGCCUUCGGGUUGUAAACCUCUUUUAGCAGGGAAGAAGCGAAAGUGACGGUACCUGCAGAAAAAGCACCGGCUAACUACGUGCCAGCAGCCGCGGUAAUACGUAGGGUGCAAGCGUUGUCCGGAUUAUUGGGCGUAAAGAGCUCGUAGGCGGUUUGUCGCGUCUGCUGUGAAAAUCCGAGGCUCAACCUCGGACCUGCCGUGGGUACGGGCAAACUAGAGGGCGGUAGGGGAGAUUGGAAUUUCUGGUGUAGCGGUGGAAUGCGCAGAUAUCAGGAGGAACACCAAUGGCGAAGGCAGAUCUCUGGGCCGUAACUGACGCUGAGGAGCGAAAGCGUGGGGAGCGAACAGGAUUAGAUACCCGAGUAGUC
This 443-nucleotide ribosomal RNA is filed under the name uncultured bacterium. RNAcentral describes it as "partial 16S ribosomal RNA". It matches the Rfam family "Bacterial small subunit ribosomal RNA", at positions 339 to 795 of the family's 1533-position model. The record is from RNAcentral.